UGAUACUAGUGAGUUCAAAUCAAAUAUCAACUAAACUUACUCGAUCUUCAAGGACAUACACAAGCGUAGUCCCCAAUACGACAUUUAACACUGGUACUACUUAUUCAGGUGGCUUCAGACAAGGGCACAUCAAGAAUCAACAAAUGAGAGUGGCAUUGGCCUUAGUAGCCUAAUCAAUAUAAUCUCCAGACAUGUUUAACAUCAUCGCUGACAGACCCUAAAUCAAUCAAAUCCCAAGAAAGCAGAGGCCAGCCCUUCUAGCACUAACUUCUGUUUCUAUACACCUUAUUAGCGUGACAACAAUAAGCUAUCAGACAACAGUCAGAAGUUCACAAAUCAAGCACGUUAACAAUAUUGAACAGAGAAACAAACUGAACCUCGGCUUGACCAUCAAACAUUGAUUUAGAGCCAGAACGCUCUUCUCCCUCGGAAUCAGUCAUCUCCUCACACUCGAAUUCUACAUUUUCUUCAAAUUCUUCAUCAGAGUCACUCAGCUCUUCUUGUUCCAUCACAAUCUCUUGCUGAGAUUCACCACCCACAUCAUCAAUAUUGCUUACCGGCCUAGAUGCAUCAGCCUCUGAAAUAAGGCUGCUCUUAACCACAGGUCUCCUCUCGUUGAGUUGAUGGCACGGAGUCCUAGUUUCACAAGUUUCCAUGGCAUUAACACAAUCCAUGGAGCCUUUCACAGAAGUUGAUUCAUUAACUAUAUUACCAUCUCUCAGCCUCCUUUUCUUCUCAUUUAUAGAUGCAGAACUUAAAUGAAUCUCAAGGUCCAAUUCAUUAGCUUGAACAAUCUGGCUAAUCACUUUAGAUGCCGUGGUAUUCUGGGCAACAACACCAGGAUACGGAUAUUGCUGAGUUUUGUCACCCAGGGAAACAGAUUGGUAGAUAUUAGAG
RNAcentral lists this long non-coding RNA (897 nucleotides) under Linum usitatissimum (flax). RNAcentral's name for it is "long non-coding RNA (LUSI_LNC002125)". The record is from RNAcentral. Lineage: Eukaryota; Viridiplantae; Streptophyta; Magnoliopsida; Malpighiales; Linaceae.